This 105-nucleotide ribosomal RNA is filed under the name uncultured bacterium. RNAcentral describes it as "partial 16S ribosomal RNA". It matches the Rfam family "Bacterial small subunit ribosomal RNA", at positions 1380 to 1484 of the family's 1533-position model. The record is from RNAcentral.
CUUGUACACACCGCCCGUCACACCAUGGGAGCGGGUUCUGCCAGAAGUAGUUAGCCUAACCGCAAGGAGGGCGAUUACCACGGCAGGGUUCGUGACUGGGGUGUA